UACGUAGGUGGCAAGCGUUGUCCGGAUUUAUCGGGUUUAAAGGGUGCGUAGGUGGCCCUGUAAGUCAGUGGUGAAAUAUCUCAGCUUAACUGAGAGGGUGCCAUUGAUACUGCAGGGCUUGAGUACAGAUGAGGUAGGCGGAAUUGACGGUGUAGCGGUGAAAUGCAUAGAUAUCGUCAAGAACACCGAUAGCGAAGGCAGCUUACCAAGCUGUAACUGACACUGAGGCACGAAAGUGUGGGGAUCAAACAGG
RNAcentral lists this ribosomal RNA (253 nucleotides) under uncultured bacterium. Its description in RNAcentral is "partial 16S ribosomal RNA". It matches the Rfam family "Bacterial small subunit ribosomal RNA", at positions 524 to 776 of the family's 1533-position model. The record is from RNAcentral.